GGGCCCGCACAAGCGGUGGAGCAUGUGGUUUAAUUCGAUGAUACGCGAGGAACCUUACCAGGGCUUAAAUGUAAGUUGCAUUAGUUAGAGAUAACUAUUUCUUCGGACCACUUACAAGGUGCUGCAUGGUUGUCGUCAGCUCGUGCCGUGAGGUGUCAGGUUAAGUCCUAUAACGAGCGCAACCCCUGUUGUUAGUUGCCAGCGAUUCAAGUCGGGAACUCUAACAAGACUGCCGGUGCAAACCGUGAGGAAGGUGGGGAUGACGUCAAAUCAUCACGGCCCUUACGUCCUGGCUACACACGUGCUACAAUGGCCGGUACAGAGAGCAGCCACUACGCGAGUAGGCGCG
Molecule: ribosomal RNA, 349 nt
Filed under: uncultured bacterium
Lineage: Bacteria
Description: bacterial SSU rRNA
Rfam family: Bacterial small subunit ribosomal RNA
Source: RNAcentral